UACGGGGGGUGCGAGCGUUGUCCGGAAUUACUGGGCGUAAAGGGCGCGUAGGCGGUUCGUUAAGUCCUGUGUGAAAUCCCCCGGCUCAACUGGGGAACUGCACAGGAAACUAGCGGGCUUGAGUUCGGGAGAGGGAAGCGGAAUUCCGGGUGUAGCGGUGAAAUGCGUAGAUAUCCGGAGGAACACCGGUGGCGAAGGCGGCUUCCUGGACCGACACUGACGCUGAGGCGCGAAAGCUAGGGGAGCAAACGGG
This 253-nucleotide ribosomal RNA is filed under the name uncultured bacterium. RNAcentral describes it as "partial 16S ribosomal RNA". It matches the Rfam family "Bacterial small subunit ribosomal RNA", at positions 524 to 776 of the family's 1533-position model. The record is from RNAcentral.